GAAGAAAAGAGUGGGACUUUCUUUGUUUCUUGUUCUCAGAAAAUGGGGUUGCACGUGGUCUCCAUACCUCUUAUUAUCAUGAUAUCAUCGGUGCUAACUACAACCAGUCUACAACCCAGAGAAGUGGCAGCUCCGGGCAGUGACUUCACCCUUAGCUGCUCUUUUCCUUCAUCUAAAAACCUGAAUCUCAACCACCUGGUCAUCAACUGGCAGCGUGAAGAAUCCGAGGUGGUCCACAGCUAUUACUAUGGGAGAGGACAGCUAGAAAGACAGAGUGUUGUUUACAAGGGACUCAUCUGUUUGAAGACCAGCUCACUGUGGGAAAUGCCUCACUUAGACUGAGUGGUGUGCAGCCGAGUGACUAGGGCCCAUACACCUGUGAUGUGACAGAUGAACAGGCUAGCACCCAGGAAAAGCUGCUAGUUUUAGUUGCAGGUAAGUUCCAUUGUUGCUGCGUGUUUCUUUUGGUGAACAAUUUUAUUUAUUUAUACUUUAUAUAUUUUUUUGUAUUUCACCCCCUUUUUCUCAUUGUUGCAACUCCCUAACGGGCUUGGGAGGCAAAAGUCGAGUCAUGCUUCCCCCGAAACAUGACCCACCACACCUUCACCUGACGACCGAGGUCAGCCUGCAGGCUCCUGGUCCGCCACAAGGAGUUGCAAGAGCGUAAGAGCCAAGUAAUGUCCCCUCAGCCAAACGCAUCCUAACCCGGAUGACUCCUGGGCCAAUUAUGCGGCGCCCUAUGGGACACCCGAUCACGCCCCUUAUGAUGAUACCAGGCUAUCCGUCUAAGCCACUUGUGAUGGCUUCAUUGUCACCCUCCCAGCCAGAGGUACCAUGGGAAGGUGUGAUGGGCAAUGACAUCACCACUAUGGAGUUGGACAGCAGGGGGCGCUAUGAGCUGGAGAGUGAAGUGACCCUGAGGCUGAACAGCACUCUGACUGUUACAGCCAAGCUGAGACUGAGGGUUCUGGACCAGAGUUUUACUAAGUCUCUCACACUCCACCCACCACCAGUGUGCUGUGUGAUGCCUGCUGAGCAGAGGAGAAGAUUGUUGAUGUAUCCACUGCUGCUAAUGCUGUUGGAAGAGGUCUGAGCAGGAGACCAAAAAGGAUAAGAAAACACAAGAAUAUAAUUUUUAACCAAGCAAGUUAAAACAGCAAUCUUCAGUUAAGGACACAUUCUUAUUUUCAAUGGCAGCCUAGGAACAGUGGGUUAACUGUCUGUUCAGUGGCAGAACAACAGAUUUGUACCUUGUCAGCUCAGGGGUUUUGCAACUUGCAACCUUCCGGUUACUAGUCCAACACUCUAACCACUAGGCUACCCUGCCUCCCCAGAAUGACCUUCAGUCAACAGGCUUUAUGCCAGAGCAACUAUCAUUGCUUGUUUACAGAGAAAACAUAAAGGGAGGACAGCCUUGUUUACUAAAGUCCAUUUUCAUGGACAAAACAUUACACACAAAGUUCAACACAAUACAGUUGACUGAUUCCUUACAGGACUCAGACUAACUCAAAAUCAUAUGAGGAAUGGGAGCUGCACACCGCACAUAAACUUGUCUGGCCUAGCUGGAUGGUCACCCACAUAAAUGUAUAUACUAAUAUUUUGUUUGCGUAUACUCCGCCCAUUUCCCUCCCCAAUAUUACAAUUUGUGCCACCCAUGAGUGAGUAACCUACAUGCCAAGUAUAGACCACAUAUUGUUACAUUACAGCCUUAUUCUAAAAUGUAUUAAAUCGUUUUUCCCCCUCAUCAAACUACAAACAAUAUCCCAUAAUGACAAAGCAAAAUUUGUGCAAAUGUGUGCAACAUUUGUGCAAAUGUUAAAAAAUAAAUCAACUAAAAUAUUAUAUUUGCAUAAGUAUUCAGACUCUUUACUCAGUACUUUGUCGAAGCACAUUUGGCAGCGAUUACAGCCUCAAGUCUUCUUGCGUAUGACGCUACAAGCUUCACACACCUGUAUUUGUUGAGUUUCUCGCAUUCUUCACUGUAGAUCCUCUCAAGCUCUGUCAGGUUGGAUGGGGAGCGUCGCUGCACAGCAAUUUUCAGGUCUCUCCAGAGAUGUUCGAUUGGGUUAAGGUCUGGGCUCUAGCUGGGCCACUCAAGGACAUUCAGAGACUUGCCCCAAAGCCACUCUUGCGUUGUCUUGGCUGUGUGCUUAGGGUCAUUGUCCUGUUGGAAGGUGAACCUUUGCCCCAGUCUGAGGUCCUGAGCGCUCUGGAGCAGGUUUUCAUCAAGGAUCUCUCUGUAAUUUGCUCCGUUCAUCUUUCCCUCGAUCCUGACUAGUCUCCCAGUCCCUGCCUCCACCAUGCUUCAUCGUAGGGAUGCUGCCAGGUUUCCUCCAGACGUGACACUUGGCAUUCAGGUGAAAUAAUUCAAUCUUAGUUUCAUCAGACCAGAGAAUCUUGUUUCUCAUGGUCUGAGAGUCCUUUAGGUGCCUUUUGGCAAACUCCAAGUGGGCUGUCAAGUGCUUUUUUUUUAUUGAAGACUGGCUUCUGUCAGGACACUCUACCAUAAAGGCCUGAUUGAUGGAGUGAUGCAGAGAUAGUUGUUCUUCUGGAAGGUUCUCCCAUCUCCGCAGAGGAACUCUGGAACUCUGUCAGAAUGACCAUUGGGGUCUUGGUCACCGCCCUGACCAUGUCCCUUCUCCUCCGAUUGCUCAGUUUGGCCGGGUGGCCAGCUCUAGGAAGAGUCUUGGUGGUUACAAACUUCUUCUAUUUAAGAAUGAUGGAGGCCACUGUGUUCUUGGGGACCUUUCAAUGCAGCAACAUUCUUUGGCACCCUUUCCCAGAUCUGUGCCUCGACAAAAUCCUGUCUCAGAGCUCUACAGAUAUUUCCUUCGACCUCAUGUCUUGGUUUUUGCUCUGACAUGCAAUGUCAACUGUGGGACCUUAUAUAGACACGUGUGUGCCUUUCAAAAUCAUGUACAAUCAGUUGAAUUUACCACAGGUGGUCUCCAAUCAAUUUGUAGAAACAUCUCAAGGAUGAUAAAUGGAAACAGGAUGCACCUGAGAUCAAUUUUGAGUUUCAUAGCAAAGGGUCUGAAAACUUAAGGUAAUUCAGUUUUUUUGGUAUGAAUUUGCUAAACUUUCUAAAAACCCGUUUUAGUUUUCUCAUUAUGGGGUAUAGUGUGUAGAUCGAUUAUGAAACCUGAACCUCAACAACGUAAUUGUCAACUGGCAGUGUGGAGAAUCAGAGGUGGUCACGGCUAUUACCAUGGGAGAGAUCAGUUGGAAAGACAGUGUUGUUUACAAAGGACACACUCAUCUGUUUGAAGACCAGCUCACUGUGGGAAAUGUCUCACUUAGUGGUGUGCAGCUGAGUGACCAGGGCCCAUACACCUGUGAUGUGAUGGAUGAACAGGGAUUAAGAGACAAACAAGUAUUAAGCUAUCGGCACAAAAUCAGUUAAUAGUCAUCUACUUGCCUAAAGCCUAUUGCAGUCAGAAUUAUCCUUAGGUUAAAACUGAAUAUGAGUGUUGUUGUUGUUUUUGUUUACCCCUAGACCCCUACAAGGAGCCCGGCUCUCUGUACAGUCAUCCUGUGACAGCUUCAUCAUCACCCUCCACUCCUCCCAGGGUUUCUCCCAGCCUGAUGUGUGGUGGACGGAUUCAUCCUAAAUAUGGAUUUGACAUUUCACUUUGAGGGCAAAUGAGUCAUAUGAGCAUUGUGUAUAGAUGUACUUCAUGCAAGAAUAACACCAUUGCAGAGUGCAACUUUCCAUGACAGUAACUGUUUACAAUGCCCUCAAUGAAAGGUUCAGUGACCAGGCAGUACUACUAGAGGAACAGGUCUUUGGGGUGUGAAGCUGAAAGCCUGUCUCUUUCUCUCUUCUCCUCUUCAACAGAAUGCUGUGAGGUGCCUCUUGCAACCGGGGGCAGACCUGCAUGGAUAUUAUUAGGGAUAAGUCUCGCUUUGCCAUGCAAAUGAACUGAAUCCCAAAAAACAUUUCCACUGCAUUUCAGCCCUGCCACAAAAGGACCAGCUGACAUCAUGUCAGUGAUUCUCUCGUUAACACAGGUGUGAGUGUUAACGAGGACAAGGCUGGAGAUCACUUUGUCAUGCUGAUUGAGUUUGAAUAAUAGAUUGGAAGUUUCAAAAGGAGGGUGGUGGUUGGAAUCAUUGUUCUUCUUUUGUCAACCAUGGUUACCUACAAGGAAAAGCAUGCCGUCAACAUUGCUUUGCACAAAAAGGGCUUCACAGGCAAGGAUGCUGCUGCCAGUAAGAUUGCACCUAAAUCAAUCACUUAUCGGAUCAUCAAGAACUUAGAGGAGAGCAGUUCAAUUGUUGUGAAAAAGGCUUCAGGGCGCCCAAGAAAGUCCAGCAAGCGCCAGGACUGUCUCCUAAAGUUGAUUCAGCUGCGGGAUCGGGGCACCACUAGUACAGAGCUUGCUCAGGAAUGGCAGCAGGCAGGUGUGAGUGCAUCUGCACGCACAGUGAGGCGAAGACUUUUGGAAGAUGGCCGGGUGUCAAGAAGGGCAGCAAAGAAGCCACUUCUCUCCAGGAAAAACAUCAGGGACAGAUUGAUAUUCUGCAAAGGGUACUGGGGUUGGUCUGCUGAGGACUGGGGUAAAGUAAUUUUCUCUGAUGAAUCCCCUUUCCGGAAAAAGCUUGUCUGGAGAAGACAAAGUGAGUGCUACCAUCACUCCUGUGUCAUGCCAACAGUAAAGCAUCCUGAGACCAUUCAUGUGUCCGGUUGCUUCUCAGCCAAGAGAGUGUGGGCUCAUUCACAAUUCUACCUAAACACAGCCAUGAAUAAAGAAUGGUACCAACACAUCCUCUGAGAGCAACCUCUCCCAACCAUCCAGGAACAGUUUGGUGAUGAACAAUGCCUUUUCCAGCAUGAUGGCGCACGUUGCCAUAAGGCAAAAGUGAUAACUAAGUGGCUCGGGGAACAAAACAUUGAUAUUCUGGGUCCAUGGCCAGGAAACUCCCCAGACCUUAAUCCCAUUGAGAACUUAUGGUCAAUACUCAAGAGGUGGGUGGACAAACAAAACCCCACAAAUUCUGACAAACUCCAAGCAUUGAUUAUGCAAGUAUGGGCUGCCAUCAGUCAGGAUGUGACCCAGAAGUUAAUUGACAGCAUGCUAGGGUAGAUUGCAGAGGUCUUGAAAAAUAAGGGUCAACAUUGCAAAUAUUGACUCUUUGCAUCAACUUCAUGUAAUUGUCAAUAAAAGCCUUUGACACUCAUGAAAUGUUUGGAAUUUAAUUAUACAGUAUUCCAUAGUAACAUCUGACAAAAAUAUCUAAAGACACUGAGGCAGCAGACUUUGUGCAGAUUAAAAUUUGUGUCAUUCUCAAAACCUUUGGCCAUGACUGUAAUUCUUAUUUGACCAUGCUUAAAGUGAUAUUAAGUAUCCGAUUUGUUAUUGUUCCCCAUCUAUCAAUCAUUGCCCUUCUUUAUGAGGCUUUGGAAAAGCUCCAUGGUCUUUGUAGUUGAAUUUGUGCUUUAAAUGCAAUACAUGACUAAGGGACCUUAUAGAUGUUGUAUGUAAGGGGGACUGGUGAGUCCAUGUAACUUCUUAUUUGAUUUAGUAAGCCAAAUGUUACUCCUGAACUAAUUUUCCUAAACAAAUGUGGUGAAUACUUAUGCAGCAAAUAUACUAAACAAUGCAACAUGUGAAGUGUUGGUCCCAUGUUUCUUCAGCUGUAAUAAAAGAUCCCUGAAUUUUUCCAGAAGCACAAAAAGCAAAUUUGUUUACAUCCCUGUUAGUAAACCUUUCUCCUUUGUCAAGAUAGUCCAUUCACCUGACAGGUGUUGCAACCUAGACAUGUGAAAUUCAUAGAUUAGGGCCUCAUUAAUUAAUUUCAAUCGACUGAUUUCCUUAUAUGAACUGUAACUCACUACAAUCGUUGAAAUGGUUGCAUGUUGCAUUUAUAUUUUGGUUCAGUAUGUACUUUUGUCAUUUAUACAAAUUUGUUGAAUUUUCUUUUCACUUUGACUUGGAGUAUUUUGUG
Molecule: long non-coding RNA, 5949 nt
Organism: Oncorhynchus keta (chum salmon)
Lineage: Eukaryota; Metazoa; Chordata; Actinopteri; Salmoniformes; Salmonidae
Exons: 5
Source: RefSeq, a predicted model, not a curated record